GAUGAAGAACGUAGCGAAAUGCGAUAAGUAAUGUGAAUUGCAGAAUUCAGUGAAUCAUCGAAUCUUUGAACGCACAUUGCGCCCCCUGGUAUUCCGGGGGGCAUGCCUGUCCGAGCGUCAUUACAACCCUCAAGCUCAGCUUGGUGUUGGGCCCCGCCGCCCCGGCGGGCCCUAAAGUCAGUGGCGGUGCCGUCCGGCUCCGAGCGUAGUAAUUCUUCUCGCUCUGGAGGUCCGGUCGUGUGCUCGCCAGCAACCCCCAAUUUUUUUCAGGUUGACCUCGGAUCAGGUAGGGAUACCCGCUGAACUUCAGCAUAUCAAUAAGCGGAGGA
Molecule: unclassified non-coding RNA, 329 nt
Filed under: soil metagenome
Description: partial contains 5.8S ribosomal RNA, internal transcribed spacer 2, and large subunit ribosomal RNA
Rfam family: 5.8S ribosomal RNA (bases 1-120)
Source: RNAcentral